Favolaschia claudopus is the source of this 100-nucleotide non-coding RNA. Lineage: Eukaryota; Fungi; Basidiomycota; Agaricomycetes; Agaricales; Mycenaceae. The record is from the annotation of a GenBank genome assembly.
UCCGGCGUGGUGUAAUGGUUCAACAUCGCUGUCUUUCAUGUUUCGAAGAGCAUAACGGCACUGAUCACAGCAGCUCGGGGUUCGAUUCCCCGCGCCGGAA